This 497-nucleotide ribosomal RNA is filed under the name uncultured bacterium. RNAcentral's name for it is "partial 16S ribosomal RNA". It matches the Rfam family "Bacterial small subunit ribosomal RNA", at positions 28 to 507 of the family's 1533-position model. The record is from RNAcentral.
GAUGAACGCUGGCGGCGUGCCUAAUACAUGCAAGUCGAGCGAACGGACGAGAAGCUUGCUUCUCUGAUGUUAGCGGCGGACGGGUGAGUAACACGUGGAUAACCUACCUAUAAGACUGGGAUAACUUCGGGAAACCGGAGCUAAUACCGGAUAAUAUUUUGAACCGCAUGGUUCAAAAGUGAAAGACGGUCUUGCUGUCACUUAUAGAUGGAUCCGCGCUGCAUUAGCUAGUUGGUAAGGUAACGGCUUACCAAGGCAACGAUGCAUAGCCGACCUGAGAGGGUGAUCAGCCACACUGGAACUGAGACACGGUCCAGACUCCUACGGGAGGCAGCAGUAGGGAAUCUUGAGCAAUGGGCGAAAGCCUGAUGGAGCAACGCCGCGUGAGUGAUGAAGGUCUUCGGAUCGUAAAACUCUGUUAUUAGGGAAGAACAGAUGUAUAAGUAACUGUGCACAUCUUGACGGUACCAAAACAGAAAGCAACGGCUAACUACGUG